AAGAAAUUCGACAGCUGCCCAAAAUGGGCAAGGAAAUGUAAUGCAACUAUUUAAGCUGCUGACACACUCCAUCAUUAAAUCUAAAGUCUUCAGCCGCACACUGACCACAGUGUCACAGUGAUUGUGUGCACUUCUGCUGGAAGCAGCACAAGUCCAUUUGCAACAGACCAGACUCUGCAAGCUUCUCCUGAAGGUAUUUGGCCAAACCCUUAUCAUAUUACUGUAAGCCCCAACAUUGUGGAACUCUAUUGGACAGUGCCAAUAAAGCCAAA
Molecule: non-coding RNA, 272 nt
Organism: Chiloscyllium plagiosum (whitespotted bambooshark)
Lineage: Eukaryota; Metazoa; Chordata; Chondrichthyes; Orectolobiformes; Hemiscylliidae
Source: RefSeq, a predicted model, not a curated record